RNAcentral lists this ribosomal RNA (208 nucleotides) under uncultured bacterium. Its description in RNAcentral is "partial 16S ribosomal RNA". The record is from RNAcentral.
AUUUGUUCUUCCCUGAGAAAAGGGGUUUACAACCCAAGAGCCUUCCUCCCCCACGCGGUCUUGCUCCGUCAGGCUUGCGCCCAUUGCGGAAAAUUCCCCACUGCUGCCUCCCGUAGGAAGCCGAAUUCCAGCACACUGGCGGCCGUUACUAGUGGAUCCGAGCUCGGUACCAAGCUUGGCGUAAUCAUGGUCAUAGCUGUUUCCUGUG